AAACACUCUAGAAUAGACUGAUUUUGAUUUCUAAAUUAAGGUGGGUGCCAAAUUAUUACAUUGUAGUACAUAACUACUCCAAACCGGCUGAAAACCGACAAAAUAGCUAUGAACCGGCCCAAUCUACCAGAUCAAACACCGGGUGCGGGGGGGCCAGAUAUGUGGACCGGAUCGCGUGGACAAAAGGUACAAACCAGGUCAGAACACGAGGCGCGGGCCGGGUUGCACGAAACG
Molecule: long non-coding RNA, 234 nt
Filed under: Cucumis sativus (cucumber)
Lineage: Eukaryota; Viridiplantae; Streptophyta; Magnoliopsida; Cucurbitales; Cucurbitaceae
Description: long non-coding RNA (CSAT_LNC000589)
Source: RNAcentral